Molecule: long non-coding RNA, 776 nt
Organism: Homo sapiens (human)
Lineage: Eukaryota; Metazoa; Chordata; Mammalia; Primates; Hominidae
Exons: 2
Source: RefSeq, a predicted model, not a curated record
UUGUUUGUUUUAGCUUUCUCAUGGUGCUGAGUGUGUCUGUAGUUAAACAGCCCCUUGUCUUCAUUCCCAGGAGCCAGCUGAGGAGGUGUGUCAUGCAACUUGCCCCCCCAGCCCUCCCCUUCUAAGGAACCCCCACACCUGCUCUGUCUUCCUGCUACAGUCUCUGAGAAAAGCCCUUUCAUCUGUCAAGAACUACAAAAGUCAUUCUUUAAGCAGUGCUAAAUAAACAAUGAAACAGACACAAAGUUAAAGUUACCUGAUCCAAAAAGGAGUGAAGCCUAGACCCCAGCCCACUGACUCAGUCUCUAAGACCCCUCACUCAAAUCUUCAAUCAACAGUGGAGAUGGCUGUGAGCUCUUCUGAUUCCAGAUGACAAUACUCCUCCCUUUAAUUCCUUGAUAUGUUUAAUUAUGUAAGUAAAUUUAAUAUAAAAAUCAUUGCAUUAGAGUUCAUUGUUUUUAUACAAGAUUCAGUGUGAGAUCAAUGUUAUACUUCCAAUUUGUCACACUUACAGAGAACUGAGAAGAAUCACAUUAUUUAAAAUCUUAGCAAAUGUGCAUAAUUCCUUUGGAUAAUUUUAAAGUGAUAGGAUUGGAUCACAUAUGAUGCAAUUGCCUGGGUCUGUUUUGUUUUUAGUUGUAUUUGUCUCUCAUAUUGUGAAUCUCAUAUUUAUGUGACUAAUUAUCAGAAGAUUUUAUCUUUAUUAUGCAUAUUUAGUAUAAAAUGAUCAUACAGUGAAGAGUGUGUAAAAUCAAAAUAAAAUGCCAUUCAUCACC